RNAcentral lists this transfer RNA (70 nucleotides) under human gut metagenome. It matches the Rfam family "tRNA". Rfam says of the family: Transfer RNA (tRNA) molecules are approximately 80 nucleotides in length. Their secondary structure includes four short double-helical elements and three loops (D, anti-codon, and T loops). The record is from RNAcentral.
ACCUUUAGCUCAACGGUUAGAGCAUCCGGCUCAUAACCGGGCGGUUGUAGGUUCGAAUCCUACAAGGUCC